GACAUGCUAGGAACUUAGCCAGUAGGAUGGCUUGGUGCCCGAAAGGGAACCUAGACACAGGUGCUGCAUGGCUGUCGUCAGCUCGUGUCGUGAGAUGUUGGGUUAAGUCCCGCAACGAGCGCAACCCUUGUCAUUAAUUGCCAUCAUUCAGUUGGGCACUUUAAUGAGACUGCCGGUGACAAACCGGAGGAAGGUGGGGAUGACGUCAAGUCCUCAUGGCCCUUAUGGGUAGGGCUUCACACGUAAUACAAUGGUCGGUACAGAGGGUUGCCAACCCGCGAGGGGGAGCCAAUCCCAGAAAACCGAUCGUAGUCCGGAUUGUAGUCUGCAACUCGACUGCAUGAAGUCGGAAUCGCUAGUAAUCGCGGAUCAGCAUGUCGCGGUGAAUACGUUCCCGGGCCUU
Molecule: ribosomal RNA, 403 nt
Filed under: uncultured Thiobacillus sp.
Lineage: Bacteria; Pseudomonadati; Pseudomonadota; Betaproteobacteria; Nitrosomonadales; Thiobacillaceae
Description: bacterial SSU rRNA
Rfam family: Bacterial small subunit ribosomal RNA
Source: RNAcentral